GGAUGUUAGGGCAAUGUGGUUGUGACAUCUGUUACCACAGUGAUCACCAGGUUUGAUUUGGCUGAUCUGGCUGGCAAGGUGGUGUCCCCUUCUUCCCUCAAGUCUGCUCCAUGUGUUUCUCUACCGAAGCUUCUUGGUUGGUCGAAGAGGAUGACCUUUCUGGAUAGAGGAGAUUGUUCUUUGGUCAAGAGUGUACCAGUUCUCCCCUGCUAGAACUCCAAAUAAGCUCUUAAAAGUUAAUCUUAAAGUUAGAGCUCUUAAAAAUCCAUCAUGCAUGGGU
RNAcentral lists this small nuclear RNA (280 nucleotides) under Mustela putorius furo (domestic ferret). Its description in RNAcentral is "7SK RNA (ENSMPUG00000020774.1)". It matches the Rfam family "7SK RNA". From Rfam's summary of the family: 7SK was discovered as an abundant small nuclear RNA in the mid-70s but a possible function has only recently been suggested. Two independent studies have found that 7SK RNA binds the CDK9/cyclin T complex (known as elongation factor P-TEFb). Lineage: Eukaryota; Metazoa; Chordata; Mammalia; Carnivora; Mustelidae. The record is from Rfam by way of RNAcentral.